This is a long non-coding RNA of Oncorhynchus keta (chum salmon), 380 nucleotides long. RefSeq lists it as uncharacterized. Lineage: Eukaryota; Metazoa; Chordata; Actinopteri; Salmoniformes; Salmonidae. The transcript is spliced from 3 exons. The record is from RefSeq and is a predicted model, not a curated record.
AGUGAGUCAGUCAGAAAGACAUCCUGUACAUACCACUAAUACAACAUAACUGUAACACACACAGAAAGACAGGUCAAAAAGAGACAGUGAGUCAGUCAGAAAGACUUCCUGUACAUACCACUAAUACAACAUAACUGUAACACACACAGAAAGACAGGUCAAAAAGAGGAGGUGAGUCAGUCAGAAAGACAUCCUGUACAUACCACUAAUACAACAUAACUGUAACACACACAGAAAGACAUCCUGUACAUACCACUAAUACAACAUAACUGUAACACACACAGAAAGACAGGUCAAAAAGAGGAGGUGAGUCAGUCAGAAAGACAUCCUGUACAUACCACUAAUACAACAUAACUGUAACACACACAGAAAGACAGGUC